Molecule: ribosomal RNA, 252 nt
Filed under: uncultured bacterium
Lineage: Bacteria
Description: partial 16S ribosomal RNA
Rfam family: Bacterial small subunit ribosomal RNA
Source: RNAcentral
CACGCCCUAAACGAUGGAUACUAGGCGUAAGAGGUAUCGACCCCUCUUGUGCCGUAGCUAACGUGUUAAGUAUCCCGCCUGGGGAGUACGGCCGCAAGGUUGAAACUCAAAUGAAUUGACGGGGACCCGCACAAGCGGUGGAGCAUGUGGAUUAAUUCGAUACUAACCGAAGAACCUUACCCAGGUUUGACAUCAAGAGAUCGGCUAUGAAAGUAGCCUUUCUACUCACAAGGUAGACUCGAAGACACUUGU